AUUUUUCUCAUUUGAAAUUUCAUAAAUAAAAAGAAAAUUUCUUCAAACAUUUUUUUGAGAGGACUAAUAUUCAACAGCAUAGUGAAUUGCUCUAACAGAAAACAAAAAUUUUAAGUUCAUUAGAACACAUUCAUUCUGUGUCAGAAACCUAUGCUGUGUCAACUAUUUAAUCACAAUCCAAAUAUAGAGCUGAAUCCAGCUUGAAUGUUGUGUCCAUACUUGCCCCAACCGUUCAGGGUUCAACCUCUGCGGUCGUAUAAAGCUACGCCCUGCGGAGCAUCUGGUUGAAAAUG
This 293-nucleotide long non-coding RNA is filed under the name Mytilus galloprovincialis (Mediterranean mussel). Lineage: Eukaryota; Metazoa; Mollusca; Bivalvia; Mytilida; Mytilidae. The record is from RNAcentral.